This is a long non-coding RNA of Anguilla rostrata (American eel), 330 nucleotides long. RefSeq lists it as uncharacterized. The transcript is spliced from 2 exons. Lineage: Eukaryota; Metazoa; Chordata; Actinopteri; Anguilliformes; Anguillidae. The record is from RefSeq and is a predicted model, not a curated record.
GCGCUCACACCAAGGGCAUGUUUCUUUAUUUGAAUUUGAGUUGCAUUUAAUUUCAGUUUUGUUUCUUUUAUCAAGAUGGAGAAAAGUAAACCACCACUGAAAAGUGGGAGGAGAUGGUCUGCUGGAAAGCACUUCAGAAACAGAACGGCUAUACAGGGGUCACCUCCCCUGCUAAAGGACUCCCACCAGGGGUGUUGCCAGAGAUUUCCUUAACACCCAGCACUCUGGAUCUGCUGGAGGCUGCCUCACACUCUGCCAAAAGGGGAACAACAGAUGCCUCUCUAACGGGGAAAAUGCAGAUUAAAUAAAAAGAUUAAAUAAUUAAUUGCA